Molecule: small nucleolar RNA, 85 nt
Organism: Rhinichthys klamathensis goyatoka
Lineage: Eukaryota; Metazoa; Chordata; Actinopteri; Cypriniformes; Leuciscidae
Product: small nucleolar RNA snR60/Z15/Z230/Z193/J17
Exons: 1
Source: RefSeq, a predicted model, not a curated record
GUGAUGCAAAUGAUGACUGCAUAGUUCAGCUGAAUUUCUAUGUAGAACAUAAACCAAAGUCUUUCACCCCUAACUGAUGCAUCAC